RNAcentral lists this unclassified non-coding RNA (340 nucleotides) under Hevea brasiliensis (rubber tree). Lineage: Eukaryota; Viridiplantae; Streptophyta; Magnoliopsida; Malpighiales; Euphorbiaceae. The record is from RNAcentral.
GAUUUUUGAAUCUAAAGUCUCUACAGAUAUUUCAAUCCCCUUAGUUGCUUAAUAUAAUUAACGCAAAGCUUAACAGGGCUCCUGGAGGGGCUUUGUAUGCAAUUUUUGCAGCUGAAAAGCUCAAAACAAAGUGAGUUUUGAGAAGUUGCCAACCUUGUAUGUUUGGGUUUAAUACCUUAAAAAUAAUUCACUGAGAUGGGAUCCACCCAUAUGGAGUGAACUUGCCAGAUUGGGGUGCAAAAGAAAGCUAUCAAGAAUGCUACUGUUAGUCCAAUUCUUAGCAUGAAUCUGCCUAGACAUAGGUAAGGAUGGACCGACAUGGAUGGUCCAAUUGCUAGCA